Molecule: long non-coding RNA, 431 nt
Filed under: Homo sapiens (human)
Lineage: Eukaryota; Metazoa; Chordata; Mammalia; Primates; Hominidae
Source: RNAcentral
AGAGCUUGCCCAGCUCAAGAAAAUAGUUGGACCUAAUCGGAUUUCUCCAUCCAUGUUGUGAGACUUGAGGAACUAAGAAACAAAGCAAAGAGGAAUAUAUGAUCUACAAGUUAAUGGUUUAUAAGGAGCUCUGCCCCUCUACGUAUGACAUAAGGAAAUUUCAGGUAACUCACCCCAGAUUGUGUUGCUCAGGCCAACCCUUCACUGUACAUACAGUUGGACAGGGAGCAAUAAUGUGGAUCAACAAGAGCAGCAAUUUGAAGAGGACAGACCAAAAAAGAACAGGCUUGUUUUGCUGUUCCUUUCUGAGGAGCCCCAGAGUGCCUGCCAAGCCCAUAAUCCCUCUCUGCAGAGUCCUUUAGUCAUGAGACACUGUGAUUUGUACCACACUGCCCUCUCCACCCAAACCAUGUCUGAUUGGAAUAGCAACG